Molecule: ribosomal RNA, 371 nt
Filed under: Bacillus mojavensis
Lineage: Bacteria; Bacillati; Bacillota; Bacilli; Caryophanales; Bacillaceae
Description: bacterial SSU rRNA
Rfam family: Bacterial small subunit ribosomal RNA
Source: RNAcentral
UAACACGUGGGUAACCUGCCUGUAAGACUGGGAUAACUCCGGGAAACCGGGGCUAAUACCGGAUGCUUGUUUGAACCGCAUGGUUCAAACAUAAAAGGUGGCUUCGGCUACCACUUACAGAUGGACCCGCGGCGCAUUAGCUAGUUGGUGAGGUAAUGGCUCACCAAGGCAACGAUGCGUAGCCGACCUGAGAGGGUGAUCGGCCACACUGGGACUGAGACACGGCCCAGACUCCUACGGGAGGCAGCAGUAGGGAAUCUUCCGCAAUGGACGAAAGUCUGACGGAGCAACGCCGCGUGAGUGAUGAAGGUUUUCGGAUCGUAAAGCUCUGUUGUUAGGGAAGAACAAGUACCGUUCGAAUAGGGCGGUAC